CUACGGGUGGCUGCAGUGGGGAAUAUUGCACAAUGGGCGCAAGCCUGAUGCAGCCAUGCCGCGUGUGUGAAGAAGGCCUUCGGGUUGUAAAGCACUUUCAGUCGUGAGGAAGGUGGUAGUGUUAAUAGCGCUAUCAUUUGACGUUAGCGACAGAAGAAGCACCGGCUAACUCCGUGCCAGCAGCCGCGGUAAUACGGAGGGUGCGAGGCGUUAAUCGGAAUUACUGGGCGUAAAGCGCAUGCAGGUGGUUUGUUAAGUCAGAUGUGAAAGCCCGGGGCUCAACCUCGGAACUGCAUUUGAAACUGGCAGACUAGAGUACUGUAGAGGGGGGUAGAAUUUCAGGUGUAGCGGUGAAAUGCGUAGAGAUCUGAAGGAAUACCGGUGGCGAAGGCGGCCCCCUGGACAGACACUGACACUCAGAUGCGAAAGCGUGGGGAGCAAACAGGAUUAGAUACCCGUGUAGUC
Molecule: ribosomal RNA, 465 nt
Filed under: uncultured bacterium
Lineage: Bacteria
Description: partial 16S ribosomal RNA
Rfam family: Bacterial small subunit ribosomal RNA
Source: RNAcentral